AUAUAUUAAUGAAAAAAGGCUCAAAAUUCAUUAGAAAUACAUUAUAAAAAAUAAGGAAAAAAAGAGGAACGUUCAAUACUUAACCAGAUUUUUGAACGCAAAUUCCAGUGAGUCGACUUGAUACCGUUGCAUCGCGUCGACCGUCGAUGCUAUAACCAUCGUGUAACGUUGAUGUGUUAAGCGCAGCAAGUAAAAGUUGUGCCGACAACAGCCUUGGACGUUGUCCA
RNAcentral lists this long non-coding RNA (227 nucleotides) under Capsicum annuum. Its description in RNAcentral is "long non-coding RNA (CANN_LNC011559)". Lineage: Eukaryota; Viridiplantae; Streptophyta; Magnoliopsida; Solanales; Solanaceae. The record is from RNAcentral.